Molecule: RNA transcript, 4942 nt
Organism: Canis lupus familiaris (dog)
Lineage: Eukaryota; Metazoa; Chordata; Mammalia; Carnivora; Canidae
Gene: SMCO4
Gene name: single-pass membrane protein with coiled-coil domains 4
Exons: 3
Source: RefSeq, marked validated
UAGCAUGGGGCACGGAACAGCUCAGGCCUUCUAGUGCUUCCUGUUAGGGUAAUGACGCAGCCCCCCUCGCACAUACCCUUCAUCCCCAGUGUUCAUUCAUUUGCAUGCCUGCUUUCCAGGGAGGAAAAAAAUGCAGCCAUUAUCUCGGUGGGCACCUUAAACUGCCUUUUCCAAAUUACAGGAGAGGCAUGGCACUUGAGAAGAGGUGACCAGUGAGGAGAGAUGGAAAGAAGGCGGGCAGUCUUCCGAGGUGGCUGUCUUCCCUGGGGAGUCACCACCUGGGCCUGGCUCCUGUACUCGCAUCGGUUGUGCCGGGAUGUGAGGGUGCAGUUGACACAGGUCGCACCUGAUUGUGUGGGGAUGUGGGGGUGCGCUUGACACAGGUCUCAGCCGCUUACCUCUGUCACUCGGCCAGGCCGUGCUGUUCCCCACUCGCAUCCUUCCAGCAACCUGUGACAUCGGGUAAAAACAGACAGCAGGGAAGUCAGGUGACAUCAGAGCAGCCUGGCCCAGGGUGAAAAUUCAGGCAGGAUAUGGUGCAUCUCAACCAAGGUGUGCCGCCCAGCCCAGGGUUGGUGUGCAGUGAUAUUUUUCAGGACUUAGGGCAAGUCUGGCUAUAGGCAACAGGCUUUAUCCGCUGCCAAGUGAGACAAGCCCAGGAGGGCCCGGGCUCCCUCUUGCAUACCCUUCCUGAGGCUGAUGGGCAGGAGCCAGGCAUGGACUUCUGAGUUGGCAUCCCAUCACCCCAUGUGCUUCUAGGGCAUGCCCAGCCACCAGAGGCAGCUAGGUGCGGCAUGAGGAGCAGGGUUCCCAGGCCAGCUAGAGCUAGGGGAAUUUCAGCUGGACUGUUGACCUUCUAUAGGGCCUUCCCUAAGCCCCAGCUCUCUUGUCUGCAAAAAGUGGUCACACACAGCCCCAGCUCCCUUCUCCUUGUCCAGGUGAGCUUUGUGUGUUCAUAGAUGGCCAUAGUGCGGUAGCUUGACAGUCCGCAGGAAGUGAUAGCUGCCACGCGGCAGUGGGGUACCUGGAAGGUGUAGUGGGGCCCCACAGAGAGGACUGGAGGACUUUGGAAUUAGGUCUGAGUUCAGAUCCUAAUUCUGUUCAUUCCUAAAAUACUUAGCAAGUGCUUAUUAGGGAUUUUACGCUGGGGUUGAGACUACUGGCUCCCUAAUCAUAUUUGAUCUUGAGCAAAUCCCCAUGUUCCUCUGAAGCUCAGUUUCUUCGUGUAAAAGGGGUAAAGAAUACCAAUCUUUCAAGACUGUGUGGAGAAUGACCUGAGCAUUUAGAAGUGGCAGCUAGCUACUUUAUUAUUCUCUACUACAACUUUUUCUGCUGCAUUGUAGAAUUUUCUACUGUAACUGUGGUUAGUACGAAAGAUGAAUUGCCUGUGAGACUAUUCUCGCUUUGAUAUUUAAUCCAGCAGGUGUUUGCUGAGCACCUGUUAUGUGAGGGGCACCAUGCCAACCCAGCAAGACACAUUUGCCAUCCCCCGGGAGCACACAGUCCAGCGGGGGCCUCAGAGCCCCGGCCACUUACUAGCCACUGGCCAGUGCUGCAGUGGAGGCAUAAACUGAGCCCUGAGAUAGCACUGAGGAGAGAGCCACUGCUUCAGCCUGGGGGAGUUGACCAACGAUGAGAGAGACCGCAUCAGGCAGGUGAUGGUGCAGGGGGAGAGGGUCCCCAGCAGAUCGGGGCUGGGUUGUAAAGUCUGUGGGCUCCUCCCUGCUGUGAGUUGAGGCUGAGCUGUGGAAAGCUUCUCAGAGGGCAGGACGUGGCACUCCUUACUGCCCAGGGGAGGCCCAGCACUGUCCUGUAAAAGUGUCAUGUGAACCAUUCAUGGAAUUAAAACUUUCUGGUAGCCACAUUAAAACAGGACAUAGAAUACAGGGGAAACUAACAAUAUUGUCAGUUCAACAGGGGAUACUAACAAUAUUGUCAUUUCAACAUGAAUGAGACUUCAGCAUCAAAAUAGUAUAUUUCAAUAUACUAUCAAAGUGUUAUUGCAGCAGGAAUCAGUAUAAAAAUUAAAAUGACAACUUUUACACGAUUUCUUUUGGUAUGAAGUCUUCGAAAUCUGUGUAUUUUGCAGUCCAGCACAGUCCAAUUUGGACCACAUUUCUGAUACUGGAGCCACAUGUGGCUAGUGGCGACCACUUGCUACCUUGAGCAGUGAAGGGGUUAGCAGUUCUGGAAUAUGAGAAUUGGCAGUGAUUUGUGUAAUCCUGAAUCUUCCCUCCACCUGAACCAGCCUUCUCCUUUCAGGCCUUUGAACCAGCCUGCCCACCCCCAGAUUGGUAACUGGUAGUUUUCAGGGGGCAAAAGAGAAAAAACUGGGGGAACCCCAUCAUCCAUGGGUUAUAUGGUACAAAACCAAAAUGCAAGAAUUCCCUGGUGGCGCCUCCCUUUAUAUGAAUCUCUACCAGAUAGACCUCCCUGGAAAGCAAGUUCCUCUGUGCCAUUUAUUGAUCACCUGUAUGACCUAUUAGUGUACUAGAUAUUUCAGAUAAUACAUCCUAAUUUUUUCAACAGCUCUCUAAAGCAGGUUUUCUUAUCUCAUUUUACAGAGGAGGAAAGUCAGGGCGUGAGAGAUUAAGUACUUUGCCAAAGGUUGUGUGACUGGACGUGGCUGAGCUGAGGCUCAGACCUGGUGUCACACCCUGCUUCUUACCUCUGCUCCUGGCUGUUUCCCUAUUAGAGUUCAACACUGUAUGUGCAUUAGGAGCUCUAAACUGGAAAAAAUACACGUGAAGACCUUAAUAAGCACAUGUUUACAUAAAAAACACUGGAAGAUGAUAAUCAGAGAAAAGUCAUAAACUUAAUUCUGUAUAAAAGGAUGUGUUCCCACCCCCUGCUCUCUGCCUCCCUGCCUCCUGCCCACGCACACUGGGACCAGUUGGAAUGUUGCAGUGCUGACCAGUUGCCAUGGACUGGCAUUGGUGGGGGAGGGGGCAGGCAGCUGGAGUUUCAUUGGAAUCGGGUGGGACUCCGGUGUUUGUGAAGUCUUCCGUUUCCCGGGUUAGGGGAGCUAGAGGCACAGGUGGGGACCAGGUGCCAGUCCCAGUUGUAAAGCUGAAACUGUGUUAGUGGCUUCUCUGUCUUGCUGGGGCUGCUUGCUGGGAAGGAGCCAGACUGCAGUGUCCUCUCCCUCAGGGGCUGAUUUUAUUUAUUCAUGAAAGACACAGAGAGGCAGAGACACAGGCAGAGGGAGAAGUGGGAGCCUGAUACGGGACUCGAUCCCAAGACCCCGAGAUCAUGACCUGAGCUGAAGGCAGAUGCUCACCUUUGAGCCACCCAGGUACCCCAUGUUCUACCCCACUUUUGUCCCAGCUGGUCCCCUUCCCUCUUCUCCAGUGUCCUCUCAGAGAUGGUUUCCCUGAUUCGGGGGCCCCAGGGAGAACAUGGGGCUGUGCUUUGAGGGCCUCAGUAUAGGUGAGCGGAAGCAGGGAGACUGCCUGCUGUGACCUACUGGAGAGCCCAGAACUCAGACCUGUGCAUUUGGCCUUGAACUCCCGACCAGACCUGUGCUGUCCCCAGCAAUGUGAGGCUUUUCUCUAAGCCUCCAGGAACUUCUGGAGGCAUCUCACAGAUGUCAGGGGCUGGGCAGCCUCCGUGGCGCUAAUGCAGGAGGGUGCAGAUGGCAGCUAACUGAGCAGGACUGUUGGCCCUUGCAAACCCUGGGCUCCUGGAGCCACCCACCCAUGGCCAGUCCCAUGAGGGGUCAUGUGGGCAGCCAGGGCAGGUCCUCUGUUUUUCUUAGACCCACAGGCCAUUAACUCCACGGAGAGCGCUGCAACCAGAGGGCUGCUCAUGGCUCGUCUCUCCUCACGAUCCUGAGGCCGUGUCAGGGAGAGUGGGAGGGCGGGCUGUGGUUUCAGAGUCCACAAGGGAUGAUGCUCUGCUGUCCAUUGCUCUCUUAGAAACCCCUGUUGGUGCUGUUUACAAACCAGGUGACCAGUGGGUGAUCAGUGGCAGGACUUUUUUUUCUCUUGCUCCCUGGUUUCCUCCCUUUCCCAUCCAACUCACAGGCUGUUGGGGUGAGUCCCAGGAGCAUCAGCUAAUGGACAGUGGGUGCCUCCUGCUUGCUGUGCACCAUGUCACGGGUUCUCGUCUCGUCCUCACCAAGGCCCUGCAAGGGGCACACUGCCACUCUCAGCCCCUCCCAGGAGGUUCGGUGCCAAGGCCGGAGAAGUGUGGCCCUUCCUUCCAGACCCUCUCCGACGCACCCUCCUAGCAUCACUCAGGCAAGAUGCGGCAGCUCAAAGGCAAGCCCAAGAAGGAAACGUCCAAGGACAAGAAGGAGCGGAAGCAGGCCAUGCAGGAGGCCCGGCAGCAGAUCACCACGGUGGUGCUGCCCACGCUGGCCGUGGUCGUGCUGCUGAUCGUGGUGUUCGUGUACGUGGCCACGCGCCCCGCCAUCACCGAAUGAGCGCUGCGGGACUUCCCCAGCAGGCAGCAGAGGCCCGGGAGGGGGAAGGCAAAAGAAAGAUGGCCUUCGUGUUCAGAGAUUUUCCUAAUGCUGAGCUCUGAGCAAGAGCACCCUGUCUUCUCUGGUCUUUGACUUGAUUAAAGUUUCUCCAAUUUCCCUGGGAGGGAAUAGGGAACGUUUUAUCAGUGAACGUGCCAUACACCUUAUGGUCCACUUCAUGUGCCUUUCAGACUUCAAAGCAGUGUGCGUGUGUGUGUGUGUGUGCGCGCGUGUGUUUCUUUUUCCGCUCCUAAGAUCAAUAUGUAGCUCCACCCGGUGAGAGGAGGCAUCUCUGGGUCAUGAAUCAUUUGGAAUCAGUGCUUACCCCAUCCACAUUGUUUAGAACAUGACUCUUCCUACAUGUGUUCACAAUUUCCAAAGGGACUGUAUUUCUUCUCUGUGCUUAAUGUGAUUUGAAAUAUGUCGACUCAAAAGUGAAAUAUUUAUUUUUUGAAUAAAGGAGAUAAUAGCCUUAAA